GUUCGAGCGGACAGAUGGGAGCUUGCUCCCUGAUGUUAGCGGCGGACGGGUGAGUAACACGUGGGUAACCUGCCUGUAAGACUGGGAUAACUCCGGGAAACCGGGGCUAAUACCGGAUGCUUGUUUGAACCGCAUGGUUCAAACAUAAAAGGUGGCUUCGGCUACCACUUACAGAUGGACCCGCGGCGCAUUAGCUAGUUGGUGAGGUAAUGGCUCACCAAGGCAACGAUGCGUAGCCGACCUGAGAGGGUGAUCGGCCACACUGGGACUGAGACACGGCCCAGACUCCUACGGGAGGCAGCAGUAGGGAAUCUUCCGCAAUGGACGAAAGUCUGACGGAGCAACGCCGCGUGAGUGAUGAAGGUUUUCGGAUCGUAAAGCUCUGUUGUUAGGGAAGAACAAGUACCGUUCGAAUAGGGCGGUACCUUGACGGUACCUAACCAGAAAGCCACGGCUAACUACGUGCCAGCAGCCGCGGUAAUACGUAGGUGGCAAGCGUUGUCCGGAAUUAUUGGGCGUA
This 520-nucleotide ribosomal RNA is filed under the name Bacillus tequilensis. Its description in RNAcentral is "bacterial SSU rRNA". It matches the Rfam family "Bacterial small subunit ribosomal RNA", at positions 61 to 562 of the family's 1533-position model. Lineage: Bacteria; Bacillati; Bacillota; Bacilli; Caryophanales; Bacillaceae. The record is from RNAcentral.